CCCAGCUCAGACACACAGAUUCGAAGGAAGACAUGAAAAGAAUAGAGUUAGGGGUUAGCAUUCGAGGGGUGAUCUCGAAAUACCGGAAGACCUUGUUAAAGAACGGAGAAAAGGGGAAAGAUAAACCAUAUUCCCUCUGCUUGAUGAAGAAGACUAGACUAACGUCUCUUUGGGGGUCGACUAGACCAGGAGGAGAAGGAUCAGGAAGAAUGAUCCUCUCAUUCCGGUAAGGAGCCCGGAUGUGAAAAAGAGUGGUAUCCAGGUAUUCCCUGGAGAUGAAACUCCUAAUGUUGGACGGGGUGAUGCUAGACUCUAGGUUGACGACAUCGGGGAGGCUAGAGCUAUCCAUGGCAAAAGAAGAGGCGUACCUGGAGAAUAAAGACAGGAAGGCAAAGGUAGCAAUGUACUCGGGGAACAAAGGAAUGCAAGAACUUGGAGAAGACAGAGGAAAUUUGAAAUCUAAAAUGACAAUAAGGUGAAAGGGUGUUCUGAGGCAAAUCGUACUUAGACGGCGCGGUCAUAAUAAUUCUCGGUAUUUACCCCCUCGCCAGUC
Molecule: long non-coding RNA, 553 nt
Filed under: Manihot esculenta (cassava)
Lineage: Eukaryota; Viridiplantae; Streptophyta; Magnoliopsida; Malpighiales; Euphorbiaceae
Description: long non-coding RNA (MESC_LNC002870)
Source: RNAcentral